UGGAAUGAUGGUGACCUAAACCCUCACCAGAGUAACAAUUGGAGGGCAAGUCUGGUGCCAGCAGCCGCGGUAAUUCCAGCUCCAAUAGCGUAUAUUAAACUUGUUGCAGUUAAAAAGCUCGUAGUUGAAUUUUUGCGUGGUGUUAAUAUUGACUGAUGUCGAGAUUGCACUUCGCUUUUGGGAUUUUUCCCUUUUUACUUUGAGAAAAUUAGAGUGUUUCAAGCAGACUUUUGUCUUGAAUACUUCAGCAUGGAAUAAUAGAGUAGGACUUUGGUUCUAUUUUGUUGGUUUGUGAACCUUAGUAAUGGUUAAUAGGAACGGUUGGGGGCAUUCGUAUUUAACUGUCAGAGGUGAAAUUCUUAGAUUUGUUAAAGACGAACUACUGCGAAAGCAUUUGCCAAGGACGUUUUCAUUAAUCAAGAACGAAAGUUAGGGGAUCGAAGACGAUCAGAUACCGUCGUAGUCCUAACCAUAAACUA
Molecule: ribosomal RNA, 479 nt
Filed under: Babesia capreoli
Lineage: Eukaryota; Apicomplexa; Aconoidasida; Piroplasmida; Babesiidae
Description: SSU rRNA
Rfam family: Eukaryotic small subunit ribosomal RNA
Source: RNAcentral